AUGGACUAGGUGAGUGCUAUUUUACAUACUUUACUGGAAGACUGAGGAUGGACCAGAUAACUGGAUAUGAAGAGACCAGAGCAGGCUGUGCUAAACCGGGAAUUAUACUUUACACCAAAAAGGACAAAGAACUGUGUGUCGAUCCCAGCAAUCGCUGGGUUCAGAACGUGAAGCAGAAGCUGGAUCAGCAGUAACGCCUCCUGUCUGCCUGGCAAAACACGAAGAAUUAAUUUUAUUACAUUUCUGGUUCUGCUGAAAUUCUCAUACAACAUUACUUUCUGUCAUAAUCAAAAUCAUUUUAACUUUUGCUGCAUUUUAUACUUCAAUAUCUUUAGCUUAUAUAUUUUUAAAACAGCAGUCAAAUGUCAGUUACACUCAUAUUCCUUUGCAUGCAUGUAACUGAUUAAAGAUAAUUGAAAGUUAA
Molecule: long non-coding RNA, 424 nt
Organism: Brienomyrus brachyistius
Lineage: Eukaryota; Metazoa; Chordata; Actinopteri; Osteoglossiformes; Mormyridae
Exons: 2
Source: RefSeq, a predicted model, not a curated record